This 450-nucleotide ribosomal RNA is filed under the name uncultured bacterium. RNAcentral's name for it is "bacterial SSU rRNA". It matches the Rfam family "Bacterial small subunit ribosomal RNA", at positions 56 to 502 of the family's 1533-position model. The record is from RNAcentral.
UGCAAGUCGAACGGGGUGCUCAUGACGGAGGAUUCGUCCAACGGAUUGAGUUACCUAGUGGCGGACGGGUGAGUAACGCGUGAGGAACCUGCCUUGGAGAGGGGAAUAACACUCCGAAAGGAGUGCUAAUACCGCAUGAUGCAGUUGGGUCGCAUGGCUCUGACUGCCAAAGAUUUAUCGCUCUGAGAUGGCCUCGCGUCUGAUUAGCUAGUAGGCGGGGUAACGGCCCACCUAGGCGACGAUCAGUAGCCGGACUGAGAGGUUGACCGGCCACAUUGGGACUGAGACACGGCCCAGACUCCUACGGGAGGCAGCAGUGGGGAAUAUUGGGCAAUGGGCGCAAGCCUGACCCAGCAACGCCGCGUGAAGGAAGAAGGCUUUCGGGUUGUAAACUUCUUUUGUCGGGGACGAAACAAAUGACGGUACCCGACGAAUAAGCCACGGCUAACU